This 73-nucleotide transfer RNA is filed under the name Apaloderma vittatum (bar-tailed trogon). It matches the Rfam family "tRNA". From Rfam's summary of the family: Transfer RNA (tRNA) molecules are approximately 80 nucleotides in length. Their secondary structure includes four short double-helical elements and three loops (D, anti-codon, and T loops). Further hydrogen bonds mediate the characteristic L-shaped molecular structure. tRNAs have two regions of fundamental functional importance: the anti-codon, which is responsible for specific mRNA codon recognition, and the 3' end, to which the tRNAs corresponding amino acid is attached (by aminoacyl-tRNA synthetases). tRNAs cope with the degeneracy of the genetic code in two manners: having more than one tRNA (with a specific anti-codon) for a particular amino acid; and 'wobble' base-pairing, i.e. permitting non-standard base-pairing at the 3rd anti-codon position. The record is from Rfam by way of RNAcentral. Lineage: Eukaryota; Metazoa; Chordata; Aves; Trogoniformes; Trogonidae.
GGCCAGUUAACUCAGUUGUUUGAGCACGGUGCUGAAAACAUUGAGGUCGUAGGUUCGAUUCCUGCUCAGUCUC